Molecule: long non-coding RNA, 469 nt
Filed under: Cyanistes caeruleus (blue tit)
Lineage: Eukaryota; Metazoa; Chordata; Aves; Passeriformes; Paridae
Description: lncRNA (ENSCCEG00000004373.1)
Source: RNAcentral
AAAUUAUAUCUUUUUUAUACUUCUCCUUCUGUAAGGACCUUAAAAAGCCAAUUUUCCUGCCCACACAGUGUUCUUUGUCUGAGCUUGCUUUCAGUUGAAAGGGACAUUCUGUGGGAAUUUCACUUUUGUUUGUGUGUCUGCUCUCUGCAAUGACUUUAUUGACCACAUAAAGAAUGAUGAUUUCUAUUUUUUUUCCAGUAGCUCUUUCAAGAGACUCUUCUGAAGCCUGGUUUGAUUUGGAGGGGGAAAAGGGCUCAAGAUAACAGAAAACUUCCGGGAAUUCACCUCCAGCCAAACUUCCCUGUUCCUCAAACCACCUUUGGACAAAUUGUAAUUUUGGUGUAUAAAAAACACCAAGGAACAAAACAAAAAGGAAUGCUACGGUCUAAAAUAAACUAAAAAAUUAUGCACCAACACAGAAGAGCAGGUAAGAAUAUUUUAUAUAGAGCUGAGCUCUUUAAAAAUAGUA